This 490-nucleotide ribosomal RNA is filed under the name uncultured bacterium. Its description in RNAcentral is "partial 16S ribosomal RNA". It matches the Rfam family "Bacterial small subunit ribosomal RNA", at positions 28 to 507 of the family's 1533-position model. The record is from RNAcentral.
GAUGAACGCUAGCGGCAGGCCUAAUACAUGCAAGUCGAACGGGAUUGCGGUAGUAGCUUGCUACUACUGCAUGAGAGUGGCGCACGGGUGCGUAACGCGUGAGCAACCUACCCCUAUCAGGGGGAUAGCCCGGCGAAAGUCGGAUUAACACCGCAUAACAUCAACAGUUCGCAUGUUCAGUUGAUUAAAUAUUUAUAGGAUAUGGAUGGGCUCGCGUGACAUUAGCUAGUUGGUAGGGUAACGGCUUACCAAGGCAACGAUGUCUAGGGGCUCUGAGAGGGGAAUCCCCCACACUGGUACUGAGACACGGACCAGACUCCUACGGGAGGCAGCAGUAAGGAAUAUUGGCCAAUGGGCGCAAGCCUGAACCAGCCAUGCCGCGUGCAGGAGGACUGCCCUAUGGGUUGUAAACUGCUUUUAUCAGGGAAUAAACCCCUUUACGAGUAGAGGGUUGAAUGUACCUGAAGAAUAAGGAUCGGCUAACUCCGUG